UACGAAGGGAGCGAGCGUUAUUCGGAAUCACUGGGCUUAAAGCGCGUGUAGGCGGAUGGGGACGUCGGUUGCUGAAAUCCCCCGGCUCAACCGGGGAACGGGCACCGAAACGCCCCGUCUGGAGGGACGUAGGGGGACCUGGAACUUCCGGUGGAGCGGUGAAAUGCGUUGAGAUCGGAAGGAACGCCCGUGGCGAAAGCGAGGUCCUGGACGUUUUCUGACGCUGAGACGCGAAAGCUAGGGUAGCGAACGGG
RNAcentral lists this ribosomal RNA (254 nucleotides) under uncultured bacterium. Its description in RNAcentral is "partial 16S ribosomal RNA". It matches the Rfam family "Bacterial small subunit ribosomal RNA", at positions 524 to 776 of the family's 1533-position model. The record is from RNAcentral.